AUGGAGGCCACCGUGAUUGAUCUGCCGCGGUGCUGCACUAGCAGAAUGACUGCCUCUAUGAGCCACCGGGGCCUCCUCCUGGCCGCUUCGGUGGACGGGAGGCUCAAGGUUGUGGUCUCGGAGACCCAGGUUAUAUCAAUGUGGACCAUGUUACCACCCAUCGAGGGGGAGCCGAGCUCGCCGCCGAGAUGGAUCCGGCAGGUGCUGAUAGACAAGCAGGACUGGGGCGUGCACAACUCAGUUCAGUUUGAAGGGUUCGGGCUGAGGAGUGGCACUGUCAUCUUAUAUGUCGGUAGAGUUGGCCUCAUUCGCCUCAACCUUGCCACAAAAGAGGUGGUUGUCGUCUACCACCGCAGCGAUACGGCCUACAUCUCGCAGGUUUGCCUGCACUAG
Molecule: ribosomal RNA, 393 nt
Filed under: Triticum aestivum (bread wheat)
Lineage: Eukaryota; Viridiplantae; Streptophyta; Magnoliopsida; Poales; Poaceae
Description: partial small subunit ribosomal RNA
Source: RNAcentral